Molecule: ribosomal RNA, 484 nt
Filed under: uncultured bacterium
Lineage: Bacteria
Description: partial 16S ribosomal RNA
Rfam family: Bacterial small subunit ribosomal RNA
Source: RNAcentral
AUUGAACGCUGGCGGCCGGCCUAACACAUGCAAGUCGAGCGGAUGAAGGGAGCUUGCUCCUGGAUUCAGCGGCGGACGGGUGAGUAAUGCCUAGGAAUCUGCCUGGUAGUGGGGGAUAACGUCCGGAAACGGGCGCUAAUACCGCAUACGUCCUGAGGGAGAAAGUGGGGGAGCUUCGGACCUCACGCUAUCAGAUGAGCCUAGGUCGGAUUAGCUAGUUGGUGGGGUAAAGGGCUACCAAGGCGACGAUCCGUAACUGGUCUGAGAGGAUGAUCAGUCACACUGGAACUGAGACACGGUCCAGACUCCUACGGGAGGCAGCAGUGGGGAAUAUUGGACAAUGGGCGAAAGCCUGAUCCAGCCAUGCCGCGUGUGUGAAGAAGGUCUUCGGAUUGUAAAGCACUUUAAGUUGGGAGGAAGGGCAGUAAGUUAAUACCUUGCUGUUUUGACGUUACCAACAGAAUAAGCACCGGCUAACUUCGGG